This 605-nucleotide long non-coding RNA is filed under the name Cricetulus griseus (Chinese hamster). RNAcentral describes it as "lncRNA (ENSCGRG00000024935.1)". The record is from RNAcentral. Lineage: Eukaryota; Metazoa; Chordata; Mammalia; Rodentia; Cricetidae.
CUCUUCCCCCAGAGCCAAUCCCGCUGUGCUUUGUGGUUGCACAGUAACUGCUUAUGUCUCCCCUGACAGAAGAGGAACCUGGGAAGCAGAGGCAGGCACUAGGCAGACUCCAGCUGGUGUGGCCCUGAGGGUAGUGAUAAGUACAUUCCCGCUGAAAUGAUGCUCUAGGUGUGCUAGUCACAGCUCCAGCUACCGGGUCUGUGCACUCAUUUCCUCCCCACAGCCACCUGCCCUACAGAAGAGGAAACAGACACACACAGGGAAAGAAAAACUAGCCACGGAAGACCUCGUCUUAGCGUCUCCUGCCCAAGGAGCGGAAUUCAGCAGCUGUAUUAAACCUGCACAGUGUGUGCACUAAAUAUUGCUCCAGGUGCCUCUGCCAAGGGGCUCACCUUCACCGACACGAACCAGCAAGCAAACAAGAUUGUUCCCGGUAGUAGAUGUUCUGGGAAAAUGUACGAAAUAAACACCAAGGGGAAAUUAAAGAACGAGAACUCAGAUCCGCCUCCAUGGAGAGAACAAAUUGGUUUGGAAGAAAAACAGAAGGAAGGAAGAAAGGAACCAAGAACCGAGCAGAGGAGGAAGCUUUUGCUGCUCUAAGGCGC